AUAAGAAUUGCAUGGAUUAACUAUGAUUUAAACAAAUAUUGCGGUACAUAUAACCGUUAUUUUUGUUUAAAUUGUGUGUCCUUACAACCUAUAAAUUUAAUUUUUUCUAUUUAUAUAGAAUCCAAGGUGUAUUGCCACUUUCAAGCUAUUUAGGCGGGGUCGAACCCGUC
This 170-nucleotide non-coding RNA is filed under the name Nostoc sp. PCC 8009. RNAcentral's name for it is "NsiR8". It matches the Rfam family "Nitrogen stress-induced RNA 8". Rfam says of the family: Transcribed in developing heterocysts. Transcription requires HetR suggestingthat it could be related to the differentiation of heterocysts. Lineage: Bacteria; Bacillati; Cyanobacteriota; Cyanophyceae; Nostocales; Nostocaceae. The record is from RNAcentral.